RNAcentral lists this ribosomal RNA (252 nucleotides) under uncultured bacterium. Its description in RNAcentral is "partial 16S ribosomal RNA". It matches the Rfam family "Bacterial small subunit ribosomal RNA", at positions 15 to 257 of the family's 1533-position model. The record is from RNAcentral.
GAUAUGGCUCAGGAUGAACGCUAGCUACAGGCUUAACACAUGCAAGUCGAGGGGCAGCAUGGACCCAGCUUUGCUGGGUUUGAUGGCGACCGGCGCACGGGUGAGUAACGCGUAUCCAACCUGCCCUUUACUCCGGGAUAGUCUCCUGAAAGGGAGUUUAAUACCGGAUGUGUUUGUCUUUCCGCAUGGGAGCGACAAAUAAAGAUUAAUUGGUAAAGGAUGGGGAUGCGUCCCAUUAGCUUGUUGGCGGGG